This 588-nucleotide ribosomal RNA is filed under the name Stomatosema obscurum. RNAcentral's name for it is "eukaryotic LSU rRNA". It matches the Rfam family "Eukaryotic large subunit ribosomal RNA", at positions 402 to 812 of the family's 3401-position model. The record is from RNAcentral. Lineage: Eukaryota; Metazoa; Arthropoda; Insecta; Diptera; Cecidomyiidae.
AAACCGCUUAGGGGUUAAGCCCGAUGAACCUGAAUAUCUGAUGUGAGAAAUUCAAUACUGUUUGAAUUAUUUCUAUAGUUUAUAUAGUAUGCACUUUUCUCAUAGUAAGACAUUGUAAUCCAUUGAUGCUAUAUCUCUUUAUUGGGAUGAUUUAACAUACGGACAAAAUGUUUAUGAUUAUUCUAUCAGUGAUGUGAUUACAUGUCAUAUGAAUAAAAUCGUUUUGUACCUGUUUAAAUAGUCGAUGGAUUUUAUCUAAAUCAUGCUUGCAAUUUAUUUUGCGUUUCGUACUAUUGAUUUUUAAUCGGUAGUAGCAGAAAUGGCAUGUAUUUGAUUAACAAUGCGAUAGAUUUGGGAUGCCUUCGGGACCCGUCUUGAAACACGGACCAAGGAGUCUAACAUAUGUGCAAGUCAUUGAGUAUUUUGUUGAAACCUAAUGGCGUAAUUAAAAUGACUAUAUUUUUAAUUUGGGAUCACAAGUAAUGUUCAAAUUUAUGCAUUACUUUUCCAUCCCGGGGCGUUCUAUACGAACAUGAUGUAAGCAAUUAUGUCCUCUGUUCAAGAGCGUACCUUGAGCACAUAUGCUGU